AGUGAACGCUGGCGGUAGGCCUAACACAUGCAAGUCGAACGGCAGCACAGUAAGAGCUUGCUCUUACGGGUGGCGAGUGGCGGACGGGUGAGGAAUACAUCGGAAUCUACUUUUUCGUGGGGGAUAACGUAGGGAAACUUACGCUAAUACCGCAUACGACCUACGGGUGAAAGCAGGGGAUCUUCGGACCUUGCGCGAAUGAAUGAGCCGAUGUCGGAUUGGCUAGUUGGCGGGGUAAAGGCCCACCAAGGCGACGAUCCGUAGCUGGUUUGAGAGGAUGGUCGCCCCCACUGGAGAUUAGACAGCCACCAGGCCCCUACGGUACGGCCCAGUCGGAUAUGUGGGGCAGGGGGGGGGAGUCUGACCCAACGAGCCCGGGGGGGUGGAAAAAGCCUUCGGUUUGGAAAGCCCUUUUUUGGGGAAAAAAAAGCAUCAGCUUGAGACCCCGCUUUUCUGACGGUACCCAAUAAAUAAGCACCGGCUAACUACGG
Molecule: ribosomal RNA, 491 nt
Filed under: uncultured bacterium
Lineage: Bacteria
Description: partial 16S ribosomal RNA
Rfam family: Bacterial small subunit ribosomal RNA
Source: RNAcentral